RNAcentral lists this ribosomal RNA (500 nucleotides) under uncultured Truepera sp. RNAcentral's name for it is "bacterial SSU rRNA". It matches the Rfam family "Bacterial small subunit ribosomal RNA", at positions 338 to 860 of the family's 1533-position model. Lineage: Bacteria; Thermotogati; Deinococcota; Deinococci; Trueperales; Trueperaceae. The record is from RNAcentral.
CCUACGGGAGGCAGCAGUUAGGAAUCUUCCACAAUGGGCGCAAGCCUGAUGGAGCGACACUGCAUGAGGGAUGAAGGUUUUCGGAUCGUAAACCUCUGAAUCAGGGACGAUAAUGACGGUACCUGAGUAAUAGCACCGGCUAACUCCGUGCCAGCAGCCGCGGUAAUACGGAGGGUGCGAGCGUUAUCCGGAAUCACUGGGCGUAAAGGGCACGUAGGCGGUCUGCUAAGUCCGAUGUUAAAGAGUGGGGCUCAACCCCAUCACGGCGUUGGAUACUGGCAGGCUUGACGACUGGAGAGGAAAGUAGAAUUACCAGUGUAGCGGUGAAAUGCGUAGAUACUGGUAGGAAUACCCAUUGCGAAGGCAGCUUUCUGGACAGUUUGUGACGCUGAGGUGCGAAAGUGUGGGGAGCAAACCGGAUUAGAUACCCGGGUAGUCCACACCCUAAACGAUGCAUACUUGGUGUCAGGUCGUUGGACUUGGCGCCGGAGCCAACGCGU